Molecule: ribosomal RNA, 535 nt
Filed under: Salmonella enterica
Lineage: Bacteria; Pseudomonadati; Pseudomonadota; Gammaproteobacteria; Enterobacterales; Enterobacteriaceae
Also listed under: 5 other names
Description: bacterial LSU rRNA
Rfam family: Bacterial large subunit ribosomal RNA
Source: RNAcentral
GGGUUGUGAGGUUAAGCGACUAAGCGUACACGGUGGAUGCCCUGGCAGUCAGAGGCGAUGAAGGGCGUGCUAAUCUGCGAUAAGCGCCGGUAAGGUGAUAUGAACCGUUAUAACCGGCGAUACCCGAAUGGGGAAACCCAGUGUGAUUCGUCACACUAUCAUUAACUGAAUCCAUAGGUUAAUGAGGCGAACCGGGGGAACUGAAACAUCUAAGUACCCCGAGGAAAAGAAAUCAACCGAGAUUCCCCCAGUAGCGGCGAGCGAACGGGGAGGAGCCCAGAGCCUGAAUCAGCAUGUGUGUUAGUGGAAGCGUCUGGAAAGGCGCGCGAUACAGGGUGACAGCCCCGUACACAAAAGCGCAUAUGCUGUGAGCUCGAUGAGUAGGGCGGGACACGUGGUAUCCUGUCUGAAUAUGGGGGGACCAUCCUCCAAGGCUAAAUACUCCUGACUGACCGAUAGUGAACCAGUACCGUGAGGGAAAGGCGAAAAGAACCCCGGCGAGGGGAGUGAAAAAGAACCUGAAACCGUGUACGUA